RNAcentral lists this ribosomal RNA (504 nucleotides) under uncultured bacterium. RNAcentral describes it as "partial 16S ribosomal RNA". It matches the Rfam family "Bacterial small subunit ribosomal RNA", at positions 29 to 507 of the family's 1533-position model. The record is from RNAcentral.
ACGCACGCUGGCGGCGUGCCUAAUACAUGCAAGUAGAACGCACAGUUUAUACCGUAGCUUGCUACACCAUAGACUGUGAGUUGCGAACGGGUGAGUAACGCGUAGGUAACCUGCCUGGUAGCGGGGGAUAACUAUUGGAAACGAUAGCUAAUACCGCAUAAUAUUGAUUAUUGCAUGAUAAUUGAUUGAAAGAUGCUAUUGCAUCACUACCAGAUGGACCUGCGUUGUAUUAGCUAGUAGGUGAGGUAACGGCUCACCUAGGCGACGAUACAUAGCCGACCUGAGAGGGUGAUCGGCCACACUGGGACUGAGACACGGCCCAGACGCCUACGGGAGGCAGCAGUAGGGAAUCUUCGGCAAUGGACGAAAGUCUGACCGAGCAACGCCGCGUGAGUGAAGAAGGUUUUCGGAUCGUAAAGCUCUGUUGUAAGAGAAGAACGGGUGUGAGAGUGGAAAGUUCACACUGUGACGGUAUCUUACCAGAAAGGGACGGCUAACUACGUG